UACGGAGGGUGCAAGCGUUGUUCGGAAUUAUUGGGCGUAAAGCGCGUGUAGGCGGUCAGGCAAGUCAGAUGUGAAAGCCCUCGGCUUAACCGGGGAAGGGCAUUUGAAACUGCUUGGCUGGAGUACGGGAGAGGAGAGUGGAAUUCCCGGUGUAGAGGUGAAAUUCGUAGAUAUCGGGAGGAACACCAGUGGCGAAAGCGGCUCUCUGGCCCAAUACUGACGCUGAGACGCGAAAGCGUGGGGAGCAAACAGG
This 253-nucleotide ribosomal RNA is filed under the name uncultured bacterium. Its description in RNAcentral is "partial 16S ribosomal RNA". It matches the Rfam family "Bacterial small subunit ribosomal RNA", at positions 524 to 776 of the family's 1533-position model. The record is from RNAcentral.